This 180-nucleotide ribosomal RNA is filed under the name uncultured bacterium. RNAcentral's name for it is "partial 16S ribosomal RNA". It matches the Rfam family "Bacterial small subunit ribosomal RNA", at positions 1321 to 1500 of the family's 1533-position model. The record is from RNAcentral.
UGAAGUCGGAAUUGCUAGUAAUGGCAGGUCAGCAUACUGCCGUGAAUACGUUCCCGGGCCCUUGUACACACCGCCCGUCACACCAUGAGAGUUGGAAAUACCCGAAGCCUGUGAGCUAACUUAAAGAGGCAGCAGUCGAAGGUAGAGCCAAUGAUUGGGGUGAAGUCGUAACAAGGUAUC